AUACACUUAACAUAAUGUUAUUUGAGCUAUACAUGUAAAAAAAAAUGGAAGAUCAACCAAAUAUUACAGAUGUACAUGCUGAAAUAUGACUAUAUGAAUAACAUGCUAAACAUUCAUUUAUUCUAGUAAAACACAUCAAGCGUAUCCAUAGAGCUGAAAAAGAGCCAUAUCCUCAUCCAUUGAAUAUAAAAAUCUGCAUUGCAAAGUUUAAGAAAAUACACAGCAGUGAAGAAAUAGAGCUCAGCACGAAAAAAAAUAGCAGCAAACACAAGCAGAAAACAAUAGCAGUUUCGUUUUUAAACAGCCCGAAAACCUUAGAAGAAACCCAGAACCAGCUCUAAAGAAGAUUUAUACUUUUCUAAAGGUUUGCACUCUAAAAUUUACUCACAAAGCUCACCAUUUCAGCUUACUAAAGGGUGCUUUAGUUGUUAAUUUUUUACUCUCCAAGUUGUAUUUUUAGGGUAUAAAGACUGCCCAACAAAUGUGUGAUCCUCGUCCUCAAGUGAGGAAAUAAAAGCCCCUUAAAUAGGCAAAUAAAGUCCCUUUUUUGGGACAGAUUUUGGUUCACCAAAAAUCUAUCCAAAAGACUGACUUUGUGUGCUAAACACUGUUCAAGAUCUGUCUCAAAGAUGAAAGGACAGCCUGAAAAUCUGCUAUGUCAGAAGUAAGAAGAAAAAAUAUCAUUUCAGCCACCCUACUAGUAAAAGUAAGCUACUAUUACUCUAUUUUGUGAUAAAAUAAACUAAAUUUCAAAUUUUAACCAUCAACAACAAACUACUUACUCAACACAAAUCAAACUUGAACAACUAUGAACUGACAAAGCAUAGACGAGACUAAAAACGUAAUUUAACUAAGUAUUCAAACCAACUUGAUGGGAAUGAAUUCGAUUUAUGCAAACUAAUUACUAAACAAACAACUAAAUUCACAAACUAAUGCUCAAACAGAACGAGCAUCAUUAACAAUCGGACAACGACUAACAACAACUAAAUAAUCGACUAACUAAGUGAACGAUUUAACUAAUACACUAAAGAUCAUGUUUAAAUCAAUAACAAAUCUAACAAACCACUAAACNNNNNNNNNNNNNNNNNNNNNNNNNUGCUAGAACGAAAUGAGUUUCAGCAUCUCGCCAAAAGAAACGAGUGUCUUUGAGUCGAAAAAUAGCUAAGAUGGGGGUUCAGGGCAUUUUGGCGGUGGUGAGGCAGUGGAGCCGCGACGGCAGUGAGGAGCGGGCCGGCGGCGACGGGGAUUUUGGGGGUUAAAUGGGUAGGAAAAGAUAGGUCUCGUGGAGCUCUAUCCAUUCAUGUAUGUGUUGUAGGGUGGUGUUGGCCGGAGCUUCAAGAAUUUGGACCAAAAAGUGGCGGCUAAAGUUUUCAAGAUCUAAAAUUUAAGGAGUUUGAGGGGUUUUUGAAGGAAUUGGUUUGGAGAUAUGGGAAGAGGAGGUUGUGGAGAUUACAUGGUGUUAAUUUGGAGGUGGUACGCCGCCGAUGGGUGAUUUUCGACGGCGGCGGCGGCGGAGAGAAGAGAGAGAAGAGAGAGAGAGAAGAGAGAAAGAGUUAUGGGGGAAAUGAUGGAUUUUUUCAGAUUUUUGAGGCUUUAAAUACCUCUUGAGAGAUCAAAUAUGGACCAUUAGAUCAAGGGGUGAUCAAUGAGUGAGAUUUGAUCUUGGGUCAAUUAAUGAAACGACGUAGUUUUGAGGUAAAACUACGUCGUUUCAGUCCCUUUCAAGGGCAGCCCCUUAUCUUGCACUUUUGGCCACUUUCUUUUUCAAAUUUAGCCCAAUUUCUUUCUUAAUCCUACCUAUUAAACUAAAUUUAUAAAAAUAAAUAAAUUAAUUAAGUAACUUAUUCAAAUGAUCAAUUAACUAGAUUAAUUCAUCAAUUGAAUAGUUAGUUAAUUCUUAAAAUGCACAAAUAAAGAAAGAACUAUUUUUUGGUAUUUUUAUGAUAGGAAAUAUGCAAUCAGAGACAAAAAAAUUGGAAAAAAUAAUUAAAGCAACAAAAUAUUAAUGACUUUAGGAGGUGUUAAAACAAUGCAAAAAUUAGGUAUUCACAAUCGCAUUGGGUCUUGGGCAGUGGCGAAGCCAGAAAGUUUUUCAAGGGUAUUUAAACUUGAAAGAAAUCAAAAAUAAAUUCCGAUAAAGAGUGUUCAAUAUAUGUUAUAUAUAUCUAAAAUCUAAUAUUUUACCUAUAUUGUAAUUUUCUGACGAAGGGUGGUCGAUUGACCUUACAAGACUGUAGCUUCGACCAUGGUCUUGGGAAGGGCUGCACCCCAAGGGUGCGAUGUAGACAACGUAUCCUAACUCAAGUAUUGGUGGCUGCUUUCACAACUCGAACUCGUGAUUUAUAGGUCACAAAGAGAUAACUUUACCGCUUUUCCAAGAUACCCUGCUAAUAAAAGACAUAUCUGAUUCUGGUAAUUGUUACUACUGUUUAAGAGCAUACAUGCUUACAUCUUCACCAACUAACCUUAGCUGUGUUUGUUUGACACUUGAAAACCUCUGAUCAAAUGCUUAAAUUAAUACAAGCAAAGGACAAAAAUGAAAGUGACUAAUGUGUUG
Molecule: long non-coding RNA, 2557 nt
Filed under: Nicotiana tabacum (common tobacco)
Lineage: Eukaryota; Viridiplantae; Streptophyta; Magnoliopsida; Solanales; Solanaceae
Description: long non-coding RNA (NTAB_LNC003990)
Source: RNAcentral